Molecule: long non-coding RNA, 3148 nt
Filed under: Mus caroli (Ryukyu mouse)
Lineage: Eukaryota; Metazoa; Chordata; Mammalia; Rodentia; Muridae
Description: lncRNA (MGP_CAROLIEiJ_G0013865.1)
Source: RNAcentral
AAGAAAGAAAGAAAGAAAGAAAGAAAGAAAGAAAGAAAGAAAGGAAGGAAGGAAGGAAGGAAGGAAGGAAGGAAGGAAGGACACGAUUCUAAAUGUUUGAUUUCAGAUACACUAUUAACACCUGCAGAGGGGGGAAGAAGAAAGAAAAAGAAAAGGGGGGCAGGCCAGCCGCCAUACCUCCCUGGAGUGCCCUUGGGGACUCCCAGGACUGAGCCAGCUAGACAACCACCUUCAGCCUCUUUUUUAAAACGCUUUUUUUUAAUUACUAGGGAAAAAAUAUACACAUAAGCAAAAAAAAAAAAAAAAAAAAAAAAUUCCUCCCGGCUGGCGCGAGCGGGGGCGGCGAGCAGGCCGGGCGAAGGCGGUAACGCCAGCCUAAUGCACAGAUAGCUGACAUCAACUUCCGUCAGGCGGCUCCGGGAGAUCGAACCUUUCGAUUGUAACUGGGACAAUUUGCAUAGUGAUUCCCUUUCAGAGCUUUCUCGGGCCCAUAACAAGCGCAGGCAGCUAUUCAAAUGCAAGUUGCGUCCCCAAAUGCGCGGCUGGCCUGAGCUAAAGGAGCGGCUCGUCACCGUGCGAGCCGAGACCAGCGUUGGGGUUCUGGGUCACCUCUUUUCUCCCGGCUUUUCCCUAGCUCUCCGGUUCCUGAAUUAGCUGUUUGUUUAUGGCUCCAGACGUGUGUGUGCCAGCGAGCCGAGGCAGCGCGCAAGGGAGGGAAUUGAUCUUUCCUCAGACUCAAAGCUGGAGCCGAAGAAGUGCGGGGUUUGGGGGGUUCUGAGUGGGACUCAGACCCUAGGUGCUGAGGGGAAGCCGGUGGGCUCUCUGGCCCGCUUCUCUAACCCCAGCGACCUUGCAGGAAUCCUCAGGCCUGAGAGCGCCCGGGCUCUGGGCUUUGCAGAAAGUGGCGGCGGCUGUGUCCCGGGUUUUAAAAUCAACGCAAAGAAAAGGAGGCAAAGCUGAAAGCUUGUCGCGUGUCAGAAGCAACCUGCCAUGAAAUCCGCUAAUGCGCCCCGACUCGCCCUUCGCGCAUGUAGCCACAGCAAAUUAUUGCUCAUUUGAUACUCAGAAUUCUAUUGACCAUGGCUUUCGUCGGAGAGAGAAUUCUAACUACUGCUGCUCUGGGCUCAGAGCUGAGGUUGGAAACAAGUAAAUCUAGCAAGAAUUGAUGGAGACAUGCUGGUGAUUGGAGCCACGUGGCCUUGCAUAGAAACCUGCUUUUUACUCUGCCUGCCUUGCUCCAAUUCAGGAAAAAGGUCGGCCCCUUUGGAACAGAUUUGCUUACUUGGAAGGUUGGAUAUUCAUUUGGCAAGUUCUUUCCAGCUCUAGCCAGGCUGGGGGAGAAAAGGAGACAAUGGAAGAUCGCUCCACAGGCUUUUGGUCAAAGCUAACCCAAGGCAGGAAUACUUGAAGAAAUAUUAACCCAGACCUUUGGAUUCUGCCACAUGAAGAUCAUGUCCUAAAUUUCAACCCCACCCCCACUCCUUCAAGACUCUAGGGCAUUACGGAGCUGCUAGAGCGGAGAUGGUACGCUGAGAUCUGAGUCUGGUUGGCAGUGGGCACCCAGCCUCCAUGACCGGAGCCACAGCCAUAGUGUCCAACUGUGUGAAGAAGGAGCCUAUGCCCAGAGAAUAUCUGAUCUUUGAUUCUGGAACUCACAGCUCCAGGUUGCUGGAGAGAGUUAGUCCCUAAAUGAGGCUGGAGAAGCGGGCAAUGAGAAAGACCAGGUGAGUCCCCCAGGAAGCCAGUCACGGAGUCCGCAUUCCUGUCACAAGAAGCUGAUGCUGGAGACCCAAAAACUUGACCUGCCAAAGGGUGCCUGCCCAUCUCCCUCCUGGCCUAGUAAGGGACCUCCACCUCACCUCCUCACUGCCUCCAUCUGGGAGAAAGUCACCUCGACUCAAAAGAAAGCAAGUCUUAAGUGAAUCAGACCUCAGAAUCUGUCAGAUUUCCAAGGAACAAGUCAACCCAUACCCUUCUCCUUCAGCCCUGACACCUGAGAGUCUGUGGAAGGGAUGGCUGGCGGGGCUUUCAUUUCAACAAGUACUGGGAGCUAAACCUUCUAGGCCGGUUUCCAGAGCAGCAACAAGAACAUAAAGGGAAGCAAUUAACGGUUUUCUAACUGAGUCCCAGCUUGUGCCGCCCGACUACAAACCUCAAGGUGCAUUUAAGGGCGCUAAGGGACCUGGAUAGGUAGUGGUUGUUUUUGUUUGUUUGUUUGUUUUCCUAAUGAUACUGUUAAAUGUGUGUGAAACCACAGCCAAGAAGCCACAUUGUUCCAGAACCAGGCAGUAAAAUUGUAGGAGUGAACACUGCAGACAGCAUGCCCAACAUGGAGUACGGGGAAACAUGGAGUAUGGGAGACAUGGAGAAACUGCGGUGAACUCUGACACUUACAUUGAACAUGUUGGGAGUUUGGAGGAAAAUACAUUGUGGGCUUUUUUGUGUUUUUUAUGUAGUUUUAAAAACAACAACCCCCCCAAAACCAGGCUGUUGAUGCAAUCAUAGCAUCUCAGAUGUAGCAUAUUUAUAUUUCCCCAAAUAUAUCCACAAGAUGUGUGUGUGUGGCCUAGGUUGGUGUGGAAAACAAACAAACAUUUUGCUGAUUCCAGCACAAACUCUGAAAACCAAAACAAACAAACAAACCACUAUGGGGGACAAGGGGAGGGUGACUUUAAGCAGUCCUUUCUAUAGGGGUGGCUGGCUGAGGUCUGGGACUGUGGAGUCCAGAAAAAAACUAAGUAGAUCAUCCUGAACUAAAAGUUACCUUGGGAAACAAGACUUGAGAUACCGGGUUGAGGUCAUGUGGGGGUCAUCCAGUAUUCCUUUGGAGCAUAGCAUAGCUGAGAACUUAGCAGAACUCAGUCACUUCAGACUGGAGAUUGGGAAAUUUCUUCCCCUGGCGUGCACAGCACCAAAUCUGAGUUAAGGUGUCCUUGCCUCUCCCUCCUCUCCCUCAGGAUGCUCCUGACAGAGGUACUGCACUUCCCAACUGCCUUAGGCCCCUCGGGGUGUUGCCAGGCAAAUGAAACAAAAAGAACUCAAUAGUAAAUUAUUUUGUUCAGCCUUCUGUCUUUUUAUGAAAAUAAAACCCAACACUUUGUCAUUUUUAAUCGCAUAAGCAGACAAUAAAUCUAAUUUUGAUAUUGAU